AGUGAACGCUGGCGGUAGGCCUAACACAUGCAAGUCGAACGGCAGCACAGUAAGAGCUUGCUCUUACGGGUGGCGAGUGGCGGACGGGUGAGGCAUACAUCGGAAUCUACUUUUUCGUGGGGGAUAACGUAGGGAAACUUACGCUAAUACCGCAUACGACCUACGGGUGAAAGCAGGGGAUCUUCGGACCUUGCGCGACUGAAUGAGCCGAUGUCGGAUUAGCUAGUUGGCGGGGUAAAGGCACACCAAGGCGACGAUCCGUAGCUGGUCUGAGAGGAUGAUCGGCCACACUGGAACUGAGACACGGUCCAGACUCCUACGGGAGGCAGCAGUGGGGAAUAUUGGACAAUGGGCGCAAGCCUGAUCCAGCCAUACCGCGUGGGUGAAGAAGGCCUUCGGGUUGUAAAGCCCUUUUGUUGGGAAAGAAAAGCAGCAGGUUAAUACCCCGCUGUUCUGACGGUACCCAAAGAAUAAGCACCGGCUAACUUCGUG
RNAcentral lists this ribosomal RNA (492 nucleotides) under uncultured bacterium. Its description in RNAcentral is "partial 16S ribosomal RNA". It matches the Rfam family "Bacterial small subunit ribosomal RNA", at positions 29 to 507 of the family's 1533-position model. The record is from RNAcentral.